This is a long non-coding RNA of Lucilia cuprina (Australian sheep blowfly), 223 nucleotides long. RefSeq lists it as uncharacterized. The record is from RefSeq and is a predicted model, not a curated record. Lineage: Eukaryota; Metazoa; Arthropoda; Insecta; Diptera; Calliphoridae. The transcript has 3 exons.
AGUAAUUUCAGAUCUUUAAAGACGGUCUAAUUCCAAGUUAUUUAAAAAAUGUUCAUGAAAGAAAGCAGUAACCUAUACUAAAAUACUACUAACAGAAUUAAAAUAUAAAAAAGGGAUCUGGUAAUUUAUAUAUGUCUUAUUUCAUCACGCGGUUCCAUUAAAAAUAUCGAUUAUUUGCAGAAAAUUUAAAAAAUAGAUUAUAAGAUUUUAUCUUGGUGAGCAU